AGCAGUCGCCGCGGUAAUACGGAGGAUCCAAGCGUUAUCCGGAAUUAUUGGGUUUAAAGGGUGCGUAGGCGGCAUGCUAAGUCAGGGGUGAAAGACGGUGGCUCAACCAUCGCAGUGCCUUUGAUACUGGUGUGCCUGAAUGUACAUGAGGUAGGCGGAAUGAGACAAGUAGCGGUGAAAUGCAUAGAUAUGUCUCAGAACACCAAUUGCGAAGGCAGCUUACUAAGGUAUGAUUGACGCUGAUGCACGAAAGCGUGGGGAUCAAACAGGAUUAGAUACCCCCGUAGUCCCUGUCUCUUAUAU
Molecule: ribosomal RNA, 303 nt
Filed under: uncultured bacterium
Lineage: Bacteria
Description: partial 16S ribosomal RNA
Rfam family: Bacterial small subunit ribosomal RNA
Source: RNAcentral